RNAcentral lists this long non-coding RNA (824 nucleotides) under Chinchilla lanigera (long-tailed chinchilla). RNAcentral's name for it is "lncRNA (ENSCLAG00000025037.1)". Lineage: Eukaryota; Metazoa; Chordata; Mammalia; Rodentia; Chinchillidae. The record is from RNAcentral.
UUAGAAUUGAAACACGAAUUGACUCCAAAACCUUUUUUUCUUUAUAGGUGCUGGCAAGGGAAGCCAGAGUCUCACACACAUGAGACAAAUGCUCAGCCACUGAGCUCCAGCCCCAGCCCCCAGCCCUAGAAUCUUAUAGCCUCGCUCCUCCCGAUGAGCUGCGUCAGAAGUGGAGGAAAGCGAAGGCACUGACCCUGGCCUACUAGUUCAUCGUCAUGGCCAGGUGUCCAGGCCUGGAGUGAAACUGAGGGUGGGACAUUGGGCUGGGGAGGAGGAGGAUGAGCUGCUGGGGUGUUUUCCAGUCCUGCAAGAAAGUCAGAUCCCUGAGGAGCUUGAGGGGGUUCUCGAAGGUUCUAGAACAAUCCACACACUGGUUCCUGAAGACCAGGCCAUGUGCCAGGAAACCAGCAGCCAGGUUCAUGCAGGGAAAGAUGGCCAAAGGGACAAGCUUCCAGGACCAGCUGGCCUGCUUGGACUGGAAUCCUGCCUCUGCCCCUUCCUUCAGGCAUUUUGGAGACAUGCAUCUGUAGCUCUAAAUGGGCAUCCUCUGGCUCAGUCAUUCAAUUCUGGCGGCUGGUGAGGCGGGGGUCCGCUGUGCAACCCCACAGGACGUGAGAAGGACAAGUCACUGGGGACCGGGACCAUGACCAGGGCCACAGAUACGGAGUAUGGAGGGGACCAGCAGCCCUGUGUCCAGGACUUGCUUCCAGACAGUGGUCUGCUGGAAGGCAGGGUGACAAGGAUGCCGUAGAAAUCGGUCAGAAGGGCUGGGGAUUUAGCUCAGCGGCACAGCGCCUGCCUGGAAAGCGCAGCGUCGUGAGUUU